UGUUAUGCUAUUAUUGCAUACCAUUCCCAAUGAAGAAAUUGACGUCCCAAGGAUCCUAUUUAUAAAGGGUGAGGCUUGUGGGGGUGAAGUGUAGUGUACUAAACCUUCCAACUUUAUGAAUAGAAGCAUCAUUUGCUGUCGCUAGCCUAUCAUUGACCAUUGGCUCUAGCGUCAAUGACAAAAUUUUAAUAGAAUCAUUUUUGCUUGCCUGUCGCUAGCUUGUUGCUCAAGCGACGGCCACGUUGCUCAAGUGAUAGGCAAACGAUGUAGUUAGGCAAAAAUUUAGGCUAAUUUUUCCUCUAUUUUUCUUUCAACUUUAGACCGCAAUUUCUCAUUCAUCCGGGAUUGAUUUUGAGCUUUCAAAUAUACCACGAUGAUCUGCUCGACAAGUAGAAUACAUUAAUCUCUUUGCAUUAGUAAUUUGACAUCGGAUCAAGUCCGAAUAUUUGACUGAAAUUGAUGCAAAAGUCACCUUUUCCAUUUUUAUUCUUAACCAAUUCCUACAGAAUGUGUUUAAUAAUUUAUCGAUAUAUUCAAUGAACUUGUGAAUAAAAUGAAGUCAUAUGGUGAGAAGGUUUCAAAUGAAAAAAUGGGGGAAAAAGUCAGAUUAGCUUGUCAAAAAAAUUUGUCCUCUUUUGGUUGUGAUUGGAGAAACAAAAGAUUUAAAGUUGGAGGUGGAAGAAUUCAUGGGUUUUUUUGAAAGCAUUCGAGCAGAGAUUAAUUUGAUGUUCCGAAAAGUCAAUUGAGAGUGCUUCUCAGUCAAAACUUAAUGUUAGUUUUAAGAAUGUUAAAAAACGACAAUAUGUUUGUGAAAACAUGAGUAGAGGUGGAAGAAGUACUAGAGGAAGAGGAAGGAGUCCAAAAGGUUGAGGUAGAAGUAACUUUGAAAUGAGUUUUAAUGAAGAAGAUUGAUCACAAAGUGUAAAAUUUGCAAGAGAAACAAUCAUGAUGAAAAAGAUUGUUGGUUCAAAUGGAAGCCACAAUGUCACAAUUGUAGAAGUUUGGACAUUUAAAAAGGGACCGUAGAGUGAAGAACACCCAACAAGCUAAUUGUGCAACUAGGAAGGAGAAUAAAUCAAACUUAUUUUAUGUAUUUUCGAGUGCAUACGAAUCAAGAUAUGAUUCAUGCUUCUCAAGUUCAAAUUUCUCCAAGUAAGAAGAAACUUAAUGAUUUUUGGAUAGUGGAUGCACCAAUCAUAUGACAUCAAAUGGAAAUAUCUUCAUUGAUAUGGAGAAUACAAAUUCAAAAGUAAGAUUGGAAAAAUAGAGAUUUAGUAGAAGUGAAAGGAAAAAGAGUAAUUGGAGUUGAAGCAAAAAAGGGUUCAAGACUUAUUUGAGAUGUCAUGCAUGUGUUGGAUUUGGAUCAAAAUUUACCAAGUGUUGGAUAGCUUCAAGAGAAUGGUUAUUCUCUAUAUUUUGAAGAUGAUGCUUGUGUUAUUAACGAUAAAAGAGCUGGGAAUUUGUUCAUAACAAGGCUGAAAAAGAAGAAUAGAAGUUUCCCCCUAAACUUCAAACAUUUGAUUGACAAAGCUUAUCGAAUGGUGGUUAAUGACUCAUGGUUAUUGCACAAAAGGCUUGGUCAUUUGAACUUUCAAGGGCUGAAAUUGUUACAGCAGAAAAACAUGAUGCACGGGCUUCUAAAGAUUGAUGAAAAUUUUGAAAUUUGUAAAGGAUGUACUCUCGGAAACAUGACUUGCAACCAUUUUCGAAAGGAUUAGCUUGAAGAGUGAAAAGGCCACUUGAAUUGGUACAUACAGACGUAUGUGGAUCGAUGCGUACACCAUCCCAAUUCCAAAAUAAGUACUUCAUUCUCUUUAUUGAUGAUUUUACAAGAAUGAAUUGGGGUUUAUUUUAUGAGAUAAAAUCGUGAAGUUUUUACAAUCUAUAAAAAAUUCAAGAUUUUUGUUGAGAAACAAAGCGGCUAUUUCAUAAAAGUUUUGAGAAGUGAUAAUGGUGAGGAAUAGACUUCAAAAGAAUUUGAUAAGUUUUGUCAAGAUGAAGGUGUUGAAAGGCGGGUAGCGGUUGGAUUACUCCACAACAUAAUGGGGUAUCGGAGAGGAAAAAUCAAAUCGUGAUGGAGAUGGUAAAGGCUAUGUUACAUGCUGGAAAGCUUUCAAAAGUUUUUGGGGGGCAGAAGUGGUAUAUAUUGCGGUUCAUUUAGUUAACACGUGUCCAACAAAAGCAAUGCGGACCAAAAUGCCAAUAGAAGCUUGGAAUGACAGAAAUACAUUGGUGAAGCACUUGAAAGUGUUCGGGUGUAUUUGUUAAACUCAACUACCAAAAGAGAAGUGGCACAAGCUCGAUGAGGCAAGUGAAAAGUGUAUUUUCACUGGCUAUAACUCACAAUCUAAGGUCCAUAAACUAUACAACUUGAAGAUCAAGAAAGUGAUCGUUAGCCAUGAUGUGUUGUUUGAUGAGAAUGCUACAUGGAAUUGGAAAAAUGAAGAAGUUGAAAGAAAUGUUGCUGUCCAAUAACUUUGCCUCAAAAUUCAACCAAUGAUAAUGUGGAAAAUGAAGAAAAUGAAAGUCAACCAAGCUCAUCACCACAUCACUAAGUAGUCCAUCAAGUUCUUCUAGCUCAACUUCAUCAUCGCCAAGCUCAACUCCAAGAAAAAUGCGGUAUUUGAAUGGUUUAUGCAAGAUGCAACUUUUCUAUAAUUGAACUCGAAAAUUUUGAAGAAGCCAUGAAGGGUGAGUGUUGGAAAAAGGCAAUGGAGGAAGAAAUAGAAGUAAUUGAGAAAAGCAAAACUUGGAAGCUAGUUGGAAAGCCAAAAAAGAAAAAUGCGAUAGGAAUGAAAUAGGUCUACAAGGUGAAGCAUAAUUCGGAUGGAUCAAUCAAGAGAAACAAAACAAGAUUAGUUCUCAAAGGUUAUGCACAACAGUCCUGGAUCGACUAUGAUGAAACUUUUGUAUUGCUUGCACGCUUAGACACUAGAAGAGCAUUAUAGCUCUUGCAACACAAAAAUGUUGAUUUGUACCAAUUUGAUGUUAAAUCAGCAUUUUUAAAUGGAGAACUAAAAGAAGAGGUGUAUGUUGAACAUCAAGGUUUUGUUGCAAAAGGAGAAGAAGACAAAGUAUAUAAACUAAAAAAAAUGCUUUGUAUGGGCUCAAACAAGCACCGAGGUCAUGUUAUAGUCAAAUUGAUAGCUAUGUUCAACACGAAUUUCUCAAAAGCAAAAGUGAG
RNAcentral lists this long non-coding RNA (3184 nucleotides) under Olea europaea subsp. europaea. The record is from RNAcentral. Lineage: Eukaryota; Viridiplantae; Streptophyta; Magnoliopsida; Lamiales; Oleaceae.